This 500-nucleotide ribosomal RNA is filed under the name uncultured bacterium. RNAcentral describes it as "partial 16S ribosomal RNA". It matches the Rfam family "Bacterial small subunit ribosomal RNA", at positions 30 to 523 of the family's 1533-position model. The record is from RNAcentral.
AUUGAACGCUGGCGGCAUGCCUUACACAUGCAAGUCGAACGGCAGCGGGGACUUCGGUCCGCCGGCGAGUGGCGAACGGGUGAGUAAUGUAUCGGAACGUACCUUUCAGUGGGGGAUAACGUAGCGAAAGUUACGCUAAUACCGCAUAUUCUCUGAGGAGGAAAGCAGGGGACCUUCGGGCCUUGCGCUGAUGGAGCGGCCGAUAUCAGAUUAGCUAGUUGGUGGGGUAAAGGCUCACCAAGGCUACGAUCUGUAGCGGGUCUGAGAGGAUGAUCCGCCACAAUGGGACUGAGACACGGCCCAGACUCCUACGGGAGGCAGCAGUGGGGAAUUUUGGACAAUGGGCGAAAGCCUGAUCCAGCCAUGCAGCGUGAGUGAAGAAGGCCUUCGGGUUGUAAAGCUCUUUCGGACGGGAAGAAAUCAUGAGGGCUAAUAUCCCUUGUGGAUGACGGUACCGUAAUAAGAAGCACCGGCUAACUACGUGCCAGCCGCCGCAGUAA